Molecule: ribosomal RNA, 451 nt
Filed under: Blastocystis sp. subtype 15
Lineage: Eukaryota; Bigyra; Opalinata; Blastocystidae
Description: SSU rRNA
Rfam family: Eukaryotic small subunit ribosomal RNA
Source: RNAcentral
UGAAAUUGCGAAUGGCUCAUUAUAUCAGUUAUAGUUUAUUUGAGAAAUUUUAUUAAUGGGAUAACGGUAGUAAUUUUAGAGUUAAUCCAGGAUAAUUCCUACCCUGGAAAGGUGUAUUUUUUAGAGGAAAACCAUAUUUUUGCAGGUGAAUCAUAAUAAUUAAUCGAAUCGUAUGGUUGCUAACGAUAAAUCAUUCAAGUUUCUGCCCUAUCAGCUUUCGAUGGUAGUGUAUUGGACUACCAUGGCAGUAACGGGUAACGAAGAAUUUGGGUUCGAUUUCGGAGAGGGAGCCUGAGAAAUGGCUACCACAUCCAAGGAAGGCAGCAGGCGCGUAAAUUACCCAAUCCUAAUUCAGGGAGGUAGUGACAAUAAAUAAAAUAUAGAACAUUUGUUUUAUUAUGAAUGAGAACAAUUUAAAAUACUUAUCGAGGAACAAUGGAGGGCAAGUUGG